Molecule: ribosomal RNA, 158 nt
Filed under: Lutibacter sp. BRH_c52
Lineage: Bacteria; Pseudomonadati; Bacteroidota; Flavobacteriia; Flavobacteriales; Flavobacteriaceae
Description: partial 16S ribosomal RNA
Rfam family: Bacterial small subunit ribosomal RNA
Source: RNAcentral
UAUACGAUGAAGAGUUUGAUCCUGGCUCAGGAUGAACGCUAGCGGCAGGCCUAACACAUGCAAGUCGAGGGGUAACAGGGUGCUUGCACCGCUGACGACCGGCGCACGGGUGCGUAACGCGUAUACAAUCUACCUUUUACAGAGAGAUACCCCAGAGA